Molecule: non-coding RNA, 76 nt
Organism: Podarcis lilfordi (Lilford's wall lizard)
Lineage: Eukaryota; Metazoa; Chordata; Lepidosauria; Squamata; Lacertidae
Source: the annotation of a GenBank genome assembly
GGGGAAAGGCCUGGCUUAGCUUUAGAGCAUUUGCUUUGAGUACACAAGGUCCCAGGUUCAAUUUCUGGUAUCUCCA